This 439-nucleotide ribosomal RNA is filed under the name uncultured bacterium. Its description in RNAcentral is "partial 16S ribosomal RNA". It matches the Rfam family "Bacterial small subunit ribosomal RNA", at positions 339 to 795 of the family's 1533-position model. The record is from RNAcentral.
CUACGGGAGGCAGCAGUGGGGAAUAUUGGACAAUGGGCGAAAGCCUGAUCCAGCAAUGCCGCGUGAGUGAAUAAGGCCCUAGGGUUGUAAAACUCUUUCAAUAGGGAAGAUAAUGACGGUACCUAUAGAAGAAGCACCGGCUAACUCCGUGCCAGCAGCCGCGGUAAUACGGAGGGUGCUAGCGUUGUUCGGAAUUACUGGGCGUAAAGAGUGCGUAGGCGGUUUAGCAAGUUGGAAGUGAAAUCCCAGGGCUUAACCCUGGAACUGCUUUCAAAACUGCUAAGCUAGAGAAUGGUAGGGGAUAGUGGAAUUCCUAGUGUAGAGGUGAAAUUCGUAGAUAUUAGGAGGAACAUCGGAGGCGAAGGCGACUAUCUGGACCAUUUCUGACGCUAAGGCACGAAAGCGUGGGGAGCAAACAGGAUUAGAUACCCGGGUAGUC